UUAGCUUAGUCUAGUGGAAAAGCAUAGGUAUCGUUUCCAUUAGAUCUCCGGUUCGAGUUCACCUAAUCGAUCUCUCAAUGUGAUGUAUAAGAGAGGAAGUUUCAGAGAAAACUAUCAAUGUGAUGUAUAAGAAAUCUUUGAAAACUAUCAAUGUGAAAAGAUUUAUUAUGGUGUUGGAAAAAAUUCUAACUUCUGUCAUCUUUUCUUUGGUAAUUGGAGAUUUAUUUGAUAUUGCUUAGUAAUUUAUGUUGUAAAUGGUAACUGAUUAAUUCAACUAAAUUGUUGAAUCUUACACAUUUUAAUAAAAAUUCUUUAUGGAAUCUAGCAUAAUAACUUAUAGUUUAAAUUAUAAUAAUCGAUUAUAGAUAAUUAAAGAAAAAUUAAAUAAACACAUAAAAUAUAUAAUAAAUUUUCUAUUAAUAAAAAUAUAUAAUUAAACUUUUGCAAAUUAUAAAAGAAAAUUCCAUGGGUAAAUGGAUCCGAAUUUUAAGUGGUUCAUAUGUGUUGGUGUCGGAUCCCGCACCAGAAGUCCGGGACCAACCAAAGAUUGCCACGUAGACAAGAUGAAGACCCAUAAAGGAUAAAGCCCGUCGGAUCCGUGAGCCAAAGGAACAGUCGGAGUGAUUGUCAACAUAAAGAGGGUCCGAAGUGACUGCACCUCGACACAAGUCCGAAGAUGAAGUCAUGGUUAAGUUGGUCCUAAGAACAUUUGGGCCAAAAGGCGAAGCCCAUGAAGAUCAUGAUCUAUUCGAAUUCGAACGUUUAUCAUUAAAGUCAAAGAUCAAAACGGAUACAUUUAAG
RNAcentral lists this long non-coding RNA (801 nucleotides) under Arabidopsis lyrata. RNAcentral's name for it is "long non-coding RNA (ALYR_LNC001002)". The record is from RNAcentral. Lineage: Eukaryota; Viridiplantae; Streptophyta; Magnoliopsida; Brassicales; Brassicaceae.